AUUGAACGCUGGCGGCAUGCCUUACACAUGCAAGUCGAACGGUAACAGGUCUUCGGAUGCUGACGAGUGGCGAACGGGUGAGUAAUACAUCGGAACGUGCCCGAUCGUGGGGGAUAACGAGGCGAAAGCUUUGCUAAUACCGCAUACGAUCUACGGAUGAAAGCGGGGGAUCUUCGGACCUCGCGCGGACGGAGCGGCCGAUGGCAGAUUAGGUAGUUGGUGGGAUAAAAGCUUACCAAGCCGACGAUCUGUAGCUGGUCUGAGAGGAUGAUCAGCCACACUGGGACUGAGACACGGCCCAGACUCCUACGGGAGGCAGCGGUGGGGAAUUUUGGACAAUGGGCGAAAGCCUGAUCCAGCCAUGCCGCGUGCAGGAUGAAGGCCUUCGGGUUGUAAACUGCUUUUGUACGGAACGAAAAGCCUCUUUCUAAUAAAGAGGGGUCAUGACGGUACCGUAAGAAUAAGCACCGGCUAACUACGUG
RNAcentral lists this ribosomal RNA (482 nucleotides) under uncultured bacterium. Its description in RNAcentral is "partial 16S ribosomal RNA". It matches the Rfam family "Bacterial small subunit ribosomal RNA", at positions 30 to 507 of the family's 1533-position model. The record is from RNAcentral.